Molecule: ribosomal RNA, 253 nt
Filed under: uncultured bacterium
Lineage: Bacteria
Description: partial 16S ribosomal RNA
Rfam family: Bacterial small subunit ribosomal RNA
Source: RNAcentral
UACGGGGGGGGUAAGCGUUGUUUGGAAUUACUGGGCGUAAAGGGCUCGUAGGCGGCCAACUAAGUCGGACGUGAAAUCCCUCAGCUUAACUGGGGAACUGCGUCUGAUACUGGAUGGCUUGGAUUUGGGAGAGGGAUGCGGAAUUCCAGGUGUAGCGGUGAAAUGCGUAGAUAUCUGGAGGAACACCGGUGGCGAAGGCGGCAUCCUGGACCAACACUGACGCUGAGGAGCGAAAGCCAGGGGAGCAAACGGG